UACGGAGGAUGCGAGCGCUAUCCGGAUUUAUUGGGUUUAAAGGGUGCGCAGGCGGAUUUUUAAGUCAGCGGUCAAAUCGUGGGGCCCAACCCCAUCCAGCCGUUGAAACUGGGGAUCUAGAGUGUGCGAGAGGUAUGCGGAAUGCGUGGUGUAGCGGUGAAAUGCAUAGAUAUCACGCAGAACUCCGAUUGCGAAGGCAGCAUACCGGCGCCCGACUGACGCUGAAGCACGAAAGCGUGGGUAUCGAACAGG
RNAcentral lists this ribosomal RNA (252 nucleotides) under uncultured bacterium. Its description in RNAcentral is "partial 16S ribosomal RNA". It matches the Rfam family "Bacterial small subunit ribosomal RNA", at positions 524 to 776 of the family's 1533-position model. The record is from RNAcentral.